Molecule: ribosomal RNA, 948 nt
Filed under: Bacillus sonorensis
Lineage: Bacteria; Bacillati; Bacillota; Bacilli; Caryophanales; Bacillaceae
Description: bacterial SSU rRNA
Rfam family: Bacterial small subunit ribosomal RNA
Source: RNAcentral
GGGGGGGGCAUCUAUAAUGCAGUCGAGCGGACCGACGGGAGCUUGCUCCCUUAGGUCAGCGGCGGACGGGUGAGUAACACGUGGGUAACCUGCCUGUAAGACUGGGAUAACUCCGGGAAACCGGGGCUAAUACCGGAUGCUUGAUUGAACCGCAUGGUUCAAUCAUAAAAGGUGGCUUUCAGCUACCACUUACAGAUGGACCCGCGGCGCAUUAGCUAGUUGGUGAGGUAACGGCUCACCAAGGCGACGAUGCGUAGCCGACCUGAGAGGGUGAUCGGCCACACUGGGACUGAGACACGGCCCAGACUCCUACGGGAGGCAGCAGUAGGGAAUCUUCCGCAAUGGACGAAAGUCUGACGGAGCAACGCCGCGUGAGUGAUGAAGGUUUUCGGAUCGUAAAACUCUGUUGUUAGGGAAGAACAAGUACCGUUCGAAUAGGGCGGUACCUUGACGGUACCUAACCAGAAAGCCACGGCUAACUACGUGCCAGCAGCCGCGGUAAUACGUAGGUGGCAAGCGUUGUCCGGAAUUAUUGGGCGUAAAGCGCGCGCAGGCGGUUUCUUAAGUCUGAUGUGAAAGCCCCCGGCUCAACCGGGGAGGGUCAUUGGAAACUGGGGAACUUGAGUGCAGAAGAGGAGAGUGGAAUUCCACGUGUAGCGGUGAAAUGCGUAGAGAUGUGGAGGAACACCAGUGGCGAAGGCGACUCUCUGGUCUGUAACUGACGCUGAGCGCGAAAGCGUGGGGAGCGAACAGGAUUAGAUACCCUGGUAGUCCACGCCGUAACGAUGAGUGCUAAGUGUUAAGAAGGAUUUCCGCCCUUUAUGCUGCAGCAACGCAUAGCACUCCGGCUUGGGGAGUACGUCGCAGACUGAACUCAAGAUGGACCGGGGUCGCCAAGCGUGGACCAUGUGUAUCGAGCACGGAAGAAUCCGACCAGGUCUUGAAACU